CGAGUCGGCUGGAUAGUCGCUGUAGCCGUUGGCUAUAGAGGAAAGUCCGGGCUUCAUAGGGCAAGGUGCCAGGUAACGCCUGGGGGGCGCGAGCCUACGGAAAGUGCAGCAGAGAGUAGACCGCCUAAGUGAUUGAUCACCGGUAAGGCUGAAAGGGUGCGGUAAGAGCGCACCGCGCGCAUGGCAACAUUGCGUGGCAUGGUAAACCCCACCUGAAGCAAGACCAAAUAGAACCUCAACGGUAUGGCCCAUACUGAGGUUGGGUAGGUUGCUUGAGGUACAUGGCGACAUGUAUCCCAGAUGAAUGACUAUUCACGACAGAACCCGGCUUAUAGGCUGACUCGACAU
Molecule: RNase P RNA, 348 nt
Filed under: Piscirickettsia litoralis
Lineage: Bacteria; Pseudomonadati; Pseudomonadota; Gammaproteobacteria; Thiotrichales; Piscirickettsiaceae
Description: RNase P RNA component class A
Rfam family: Bacterial RNase P class A
About the family: Ribonuclease P (RNase P) is a ubiquitous endoribonuclease, found in archaea, bacteria and eukarya as well as chloroplasts and mitochondria. Its best characterised activity is the generation of mature 5'-ends of tRNAs by cleaving the 5'-leader elements of precursor-tRNAs.
Source: RNAcentral